GAGGGGAAGAGGUAGCUUGGGACGAGGUAGUAAGCAAAACUUGAUAUGAAAACCAUGAAGAAGAAUUGUAGCCUUGUAUGGCCUCCUCUUGGUCUCUUGUCUUUCUCAUGCAAUGCCCUGAACAAUUUCCAGAUAUUUGAGAUGAGGUAAGGUUCAUAUAUAUUGUUGACAAUGUUUUCUCUCAUAACUAGAACACUUGAUUCAGAUUUACCAAUCAAAUAUGUCUAAGAUUUAGUUCUGGGAGAAAAUACCUGAAUAGAGAGACCUGAACUAGAUUUGCAGGCCACCACAUAUAUGGGGAGUCAACUAGGUAUCUUCUGAAUAACCCAGCCCAUCCAUAUCCUAGCAUCUGCUCUCAUCAGCAAUCACUCAGAAAAAUAUACUAGAACUAUACCAACUAAAACAUGAAAAUGGGUAUUAUGGGACAAACACAAUCAGGCUGAAGUAAUCUAAAAGAGGCUUAGUGAGCCGAAUGAAGUAAAUUAGAGGAGACCUGAGUGGUUUGGGACAGUAACAUGGCUGCCAGAGGAUGGAGAUUUCUGUGAUAAAACGCCUUAACAAUCGUGACUAUAUUCAAAGCGUAGACACUAUUCGAUCCAGAGUUGGCGAAAAUGGUAAUCAGGACAUGUUCUUUGAGAGUAAAUGGCCCUGGAUUCAACGAAAACGACCAUUUGGUGAAUGGAACUCGAAAAGAGGAAGAUGGAAUAGUUGCAGCCAUCAAUUUUCCCAGAGGAAGAACAAGAAUCUGUGCGGAGACCGAAGAAACAUAAAGCUGGUUCUGGCGAAAACCAAAAAAUUGGUUUACAAAAGCCAAAAGACAGCAAGAUGUAAGCCCAAGAAUCCAUGUUCUGAAUGUUAAGGCUGGCUCUGAAGGGUCAUCAGUUGGUGGAACUGUGAGCCUCACUUCCUCAAUUGGACUAUCGUUCUCCUCCUCCCCUGCAUUGCCAAAUUUCACAAAUCUUAUUCUGAACAGACAUCAUCCUUCAUGAGGAAAGGUUGUUAACCCAGAUUUUUUUCAUCUUCAAAAGGUUGAAAAUGCUGAUAAAAGUUCCAUGGUAGAAGAAGAAAGAAAUUUUCUCACGAGUUUUUUGGAAGUUGGAUUCAAGAUUUUCCUCUGAUAGGUUGAAUUGAGGGGUCCCAUCCCCAUCUUUAGCUUUUAUCAUCUUCUCCUUCUCCUUCUCCUU
This 1184-nucleotide long non-coding RNA is filed under the name Cucumis sativus (cucumber). RNAcentral's name for it is "long non-coding RNA (CSAT_LNC002815)". The record is from RNAcentral. Lineage: Eukaryota; Viridiplantae; Streptophyta; Magnoliopsida; Cucurbitales; Cucurbitaceae.